Molecule: long non-coding RNA, 3951 nt
Organism: Equus caballus (horse)
Lineage: Eukaryota; Metazoa; Chordata; Mammalia; Perissodactyla; Equidae
Source: RefSeq, a predicted model, not a curated record
AAACAAGAGAAGGCAUGAGACAAAUUCUGAAUAUAAAAAGUGCCAGAAGGUUUGUGGAAGUAAAACCCUGAGGAGUUUUGUGUGUGGUCAGUUUGGCUGAGAUUAAAAUGAAUGAGUUUCAAUUUAUCAAAAGUAAGGCAGUCACAAGAAGCGCCGCUGCCUCUGCUCGGCCUCUGGUGCGUGGGUGCUGGCAGGGCCAGGGCAGGCCCUGCGGCGCCUGGGCGCGAAGCGCCUGCGGGGCAGGGGGCGCGGGGAGUGCGUGGUCCAGCCACUGGCAGCGGGGCGGAGGCGGGGCGAAGCGGGUCCCUGAGUCCCGAGUGGCUGGUGGCCGGGACUCUCCAUCCCUCCCUCCUCUGGGUGGGCAGCACCACUGAGGCUGAGCAAAGCGCGGAGGGAGAGAGCACUCUGUGUGGUGGCUGCCGCAGCCCCGGGGAGCAGAAAACACCCCUGCGGGGAAAAGUGAUAAACAACCAAAAGCUGUUCUGGUGGCUUUAACAGCGCCCCCAGUGACAGCCUGAGAACACCCUAGUCCCCUCCACUAGAGGGAAGGCCAAGGGACAUUGACCCAUCCCUGCAGUGCCUUGCAGGUGGCUCGGGUAUGGGGGACCGGAGGCCACAUGACAUAACAACGUGUUGGUCUACAGAAACAGAAGGCAUUUCGUCGGGGGUGGAAAUGAGUAAAAUGGCUUCCGGCGCUUCUCACCCCAGCCUGCGGCAAUGGUUCUAUAGCACCGCAGGUGCACAAAGCCCCCUGAUGUUGCCUUGUUUCAUUAUAUUGAUGAUGUCGUGUUAACCUCCCAGUCUUUUCCAGACCUUCAAGAAGCCUCCCGCUCCCUCGUCACCCACCUACACCAGGGAAGAUGGGUGGUGAACGACAACAGAGUACAAGGGUCUGGGUUGUCUGUCAAAUAUCUGGGUGUUGUCUGGUCCGGUAAGACAAAAGUGGUUCCUGCUACUGUCAUAGAUAAGAUCCAGGCUGUCUAUCCUCUUUGUAAGUUGGUGCAAAAGGGACUGGCAGACCACCGGGCCUUCACCCAAGCCAAAAUAGCAGUGAAACAAAUCAAGUCCUUGGAUGUUUGUCACAAGGACAACCGUGUGAAUUGGACGUUUCUGGUUACCCAGAGGGGUUCGGAUGGAAUCUCUGACAGAGGCAAGGUAAUAAAUGAGUGCCCGGUGGCUUCUGGUCUCAAUUGUGGAAGCGGGCUCACCCUGUGGAUGGCACAAUGGACAUGACAGUGGACUAUUAAUGGUCACCUGCUGUGGGGGAUAGAGCUCCAGGAUGAUAUUUGGCAGCAGGUCCAGGGAAUGACAAUAGCAGUGUACCAUGUGUCUGUAUCUCAGGCGACAACGCUGCCAGGAAACCAACAAGCAGACGAGUUGGCUCCGGAUCCAUCUCCUGAAAGAAAUACCAGCCGAGAGAGUGGCAGAGUGGCUACACAAGAAGACUCUACACAAAGGACAAAGGACCCUAUAGGCUACUGCCAAGGCUUUGGGCCUCUCCCUGUCCUACGCUGAUGUGGUGCAGGUCUGUCAGGUGUGCCCUUCUUGUUCCUUGCAGAAACCCUAGGCCAUUCCCCUGAACACAAGCCAAAUUGCUAGCGGCAACCAGCCUUCUCAACACUGGCAGGUGGCCUACAUUGGGCCCUUGCCUCUCUCUGAUGGCUGCAGGUAUGCCCUCACUUGUGUGGAUACGUAUACAGGACAGCUACAGGUAUACCCCAGCAAGAGGGCCACACAGAAGACCACCAUAAGUGGCCUGGGAUACCUCUGUGCUGGGUACGGUGUUCCCACAAACAUCGACAGUGACCAAGGUAUGCAUUUUACUGGCCACCAGGUACAGACAUGGGCUGAUCAAAUGGACAUAUAUUGGCAUUUUCACCUGCCAUACAACCCCACGGCUGCAGGGCUGGUGGAACAAAUGGAUGGCUUCUGAAACAGCUGAAGACAGAAGACAGGACCCUAGCCCACUGGACAAGAGGCCUGACAACUGCAAUACGUCAACUGAGUGAACGUGAGAGGCGCACCUGACCCACUGCAUAUCAAAUGUUGACACAAGGACCUGAUAUGCCAGACAUCUACAGACAAGGGCUAAUCAAGGAGAGACACUACAACCACAGGUUGGCAUUCAGAACAACUUGAUUUUGCCUCUGCCACAAGAACUCCCUACCGGGAUCCACAUGGUCACUUCGCCCUGGGACUGGGAGCUGGGGCCUGGCUGGUGGGGUCUCUUAGCCCCUUGGGGAACAGGCUUAGAAGAAGAUAUCAUAGUAACACCCUUCAUUGUGGAGAAGCCAUCUAAAACCUCCAAACUUACUAAUCGAAGGCCUCCAAUUCCCCAAGGACGUCUGCCAACCUUUUCGCUGCUUGGGCACACACUGUUGCUGGUGUACAAAAUCACUCCAACUGCUUGGUGUGCAGUGAGCUGCCUCUCUCUUCAACCACAGGGUUACCAUGGCGUUCCUGAGCUCCAACACCUCUGACUGGAGAGCCCGGCGAGAGUGGAAGAGCAUCGUCCACUUUCCCACUUCUACUCCCCUCCCACCAAGAAACCUGUCCUUGCCCUCUUAUGCUACUUCUUGAAAGUAUAUCUUCCAGCUUGUUCAUGAGCAGGUAAAUAUAACCCCAAAGGUGGGGUACUCUGUUCUUGAAGGUGUAGGAUGGUUAACUGCUAUACAAAUAGAAUUAAGAGGUUCCGUUCCCUGGUGCAUUGAACGUCACAAUGACUCCACACCACCAAAUGAAAGCAUCUCAAAAAAUGCGGGGUAGACAUGUAAAGCAAUGUGUCACCAAACAAUUAUUAUUACUGCUGAUAUAUGGCUGGGAAAACAAGACAACACCAUCAAAGGAGACUAUGCCUCUCCUCUGGGUGAUUGUGGGCUUGUGGCACUUGUGGCUGGCCCUAUCUGCCUUAUAACUGGACUGGCAGAUGCACAUGGGGGCGUCCCUACAUCCCUGCAUGCAUCCUGUCUUCCCUUCAAUAGCUUCCUUCUAAUUGGGAGGCAGUCCAUGCACGCCAUCGUGUGCGACGCACUGCAGGGUGCUUUUACCCCCUUGCUAUCUUCUCCCCACAGGCUGCAGUUAUUGAUAUAGAAUGGCAGGUGUUUGCCCUAGCCCAACAUGUGGUAAAAGUCCUCAAUGAUACGAGACAUGCAAUAACUCUACUAAAUGAAGAAACCUCCCAAAUGAGACAAGUAGUGUUACAAAAUAGAAUGGCUUUGGACAUACUUACUGCAGCCCAAGGGGGAACCUGUCCCCUGAUCAAAGUAGAAUGCUGUGUAUUUAUCCCUGAUUAUGCCCACAAUGUUUCCUCUGCAGUGGCCUCCUUAUUUGCUCAUGUACAGGCUAUUGACAACCUGUUCACUGACUCCAUAUCUGCCUGGAUACAAUCCCUCCCCUCCACCUGGUGACGUGUUUUCUUUGGUGUCCUUGCCUUUUAACUACUUCUUUUAUUUUCAUGUUGUGCUCUCUAUUGCCGUUGUGAUCUCUGGCUGCAGUGCUCCUCUGUGUCUCGCUCAAGGGAAGCUGCAGAAGACUGGCACAAUAAGAUUGUAAGGGCCAUUCGGACACAUGGAGGGCAGAGUAUAGGGGCACUAGCACACGUGCCCUUUAAACCAUGUGUCCUUGAGGCUCCUUGUCUGGGCUAUGGCUCAGUACUAAUGAUGAUAACAGUCCUGGGCUUGGCUAACCCAGCUGUUUUCUCAUGAGAGAGUCAGAACAAAGACCCUCGCAGUCUGAGGGAACACAGAGGCCCUCCAGGAGGGCUCUGGUCCUUGGAAUGCAGGUCAUACGGGGAUGAUCCCCCUUGACAGGCAUGCGGCCUUUGUUCCUCUGCCUACGUAAGCAAGCUUCUCUCAGGGGGCAUUAGUGUGUGCACAUUUCCUGUCCAGCCGGUGCCACUGGACCUUCCCUAUAAGUAACUCCCCAGUAAACCUAUAUGUCUUGUUCCCUGUC